CGCCAUCAAAGACAUUAAUGAGGGGGAGGAAAUGACCUAUGACUACGGAGGGGAUGACUGCCCCUGGAGAAUUCAAAUUGUGACAGACGUCGGAAAUGAAGAUGGGACUUUUGUCCCAAAACUUAGACGGACAAAAAGUAUCAUAAUGGAAAAAACAGAUUUCGAAGACCCUGAUGAAUUAUAUGAUUCUACAUCAGAUAGUGGUGAUGAGUAUGUGCCAGAUUCCACCACUGAAAGUGAUGACAGUGAUUUCAACCUCACAUCAGUCAUUGGGACA
This is a long non-coding RNA of Solea solea (common sole), 277 nucleotides long. RefSeq lists it as uncharacterized. NCBI's taxonomy places the organism in Eukaryota, Metazoa, Chordata, Actinopteri, Pleuronectiformes, Soleidae. The transcript is spliced from 3 exons. The record is from RefSeq and is a predicted model, not a curated record.